RNAcentral lists this ribosomal RNA (159 nucleotides) under Klebsiella pneumoniae. Its description in RNAcentral is "partial 16S ribosomal RNA". It matches the Rfam family "Bacterial small subunit ribosomal RNA", at positions 1 to 151 of the family's 1533-position model. Lineage: Bacteria; Pseudomonadati; Pseudomonadota; Gammaproteobacteria; Enterobacterales; Enterobacteriaceae. The record is from RNAcentral.
ACUUAAAUUGAAGAGUUUGAUCAUGGCUCAGAUUGAACGCUGGCGGCAGGCCUAACACAUGCAAGUCGAGCGGUAGCACAGAGAGCUUGCUCUCGGGUGACGAGCGGCGGACGGGUGAGUAAUGUCUGGGAAACUGCCUGAUGGAGGGGGAUAACUACU